AUACGGAGGAUGCAAGCGUUAUCCGGAUUUAUUGGGUUUAAAGGGUGCGUAGGCGGUUUGCUAAGCGGGAGGUGAAAUGCCGGCGCUCAACGUCGGAAGUGCCUCCCGAACUGGUGGACUGGAAUGACUCUGCCGUGGGAGGAAUGUGUAGUGUAGCGGUGAAAUGCUUAGAGAUUACACAGAACACCGAUUGCGAAGGCAUCUCACGAAGGGUUGAUUGACGCUGAGGCACGAAAGCGUGGGGAUCAAACAGGAUGAGAUACCCUGGUAGUCCACGCAAUAAACGAUGAUAGCUAACCGCUGGUUUUUUCGGAUCAGUGGCCAAGCGAAAGCGAUAAGCCAUCCACCUGGGGAGUACGACCGCAAGACUGAAACUCAAAUGAAUUGACGGGG
This 393-nucleotide ribosomal RNA is filed under the name uncultured bacterium. RNAcentral's name for it is "partial 16S ribosomal RNA". It matches the Rfam family "Bacterial small subunit ribosomal RNA", at positions 523 to 918 of the family's 1533-position model. The record is from RNAcentral.